RNAcentral lists this long non-coding RNA (2306 nucleotides) under Mus musculus (house mouse). Its description in RNAcentral is "long non-coding RNA chr3:53154912-53157218". Lineage: Eukaryota; Metazoa; Chordata; Mammalia; Rodentia; Muridae. The record is from RNAcentral.
UAGAGAGGAUGGCCGACUUCAGCUCUGUUAAAGGCAAAAAGGUGCAAAUAAUAGAAAUUCAUGUCCUCUUCUGACCACACUGUCUGCAUCCUUAAGUGAUUGGAGGCUCAUUACGGGGCAUCGUUUCCUCCAGAAAACCUCUGUUUUCAGAUGAUCUGGGUAGUCCCUCAGCAUCGGGCUUCCAUGCCUGCCGUAAUGGAGUGGUGGGAGUAGUUUCUUGGCUCUCUCUGACUGCUUCCUACCUCCUUUCAGAAGUAACCCUGGAAUGUAUGUAUGUAGCUUGCGGCAGCUAGAGUAGAGCUCUGCUUCUGAGGUGACAAUUGGCAAAUGAAACGCAUUAACUAAAAGCAUCACCUAACAUCUGCGUCACUCUUUCCUGUGUUUUGAAAUCCAUGGUUUUGUUUUUCCUUUAAAGUCCCCUUAUUUUUAUUCAAAGUCCCCUUAAGGUCAUCGUUUGCCAAGUUUGUGGAUGCAGAAACCAUCUCCUCCGUAGCUUGACAUGUUUACCCCAGUAUUAGCAAUUUAUUGUAAAUAACGGAUCCAUAUAUCAUGGACAAUCAGCUUAGGGGGUGGCGGUCCCUCUGCUUGCUAGGUUAGGAACAUGUGUGUGCUGAUAGAUUGGAAUCUAUUAUAUCCUGAAAGAAAGGGGAAUUUCAUUUUGAUUGAUUAGGAUUUUUUUUCAAAGUCUGUGUUUGUCACUGAGAAGUUUUCUUUUUAACUUAGAUCUUUAUAGCUGAUGCUUAAUUACCACAUAGGAAAGUGAUACACUACAGGAAAACAGACUAUGAACUGAAGAUAAAUUGUUAAUAUUACUAAAAUUGAAAUGAAGCUCAUUAUUCUAAGUUUGACAAGAAUUUUCUUAGCAAAUUAAAUAUAGUGGUUGUUAUUACUUUACUUAUCUUUAAUCUUUUUGUUCUUUUGUGUAUUGGGGUAUAUGGACGUGUAAGAGUUUGUAUAUGUGAACGUGUGUGUGUUGUGGGUUGUACACAUAGAGGUUAAUUUUGAAUAUCUUCCUUAAUGGCUCCCUAUCUUAGUGUUUUGAGACAGGGUCUCACACUGAACCUGAAGCCGACUACCUGGUCAGUAAUCUGUGGGUGAAUCCUUCUGUCCUUCUCCCCAACAUUGGGAUUACAGAUACAUGAGCUGUGCCUUGCUGUUCACACAGAUACCAGGGAUGGAGCUUGGGUCCUUAGGCUGUGUGGCAAGGACUUUAUCAACAGAGCCAUCUCUGCAGCCAGUGUAUGGUAUUAUAGCUGAUAAGGGAAAGACACUAAAGGAGAGGGGUCUUGCUGAGUCUAAGAAAUGUUUACAAAAGGACUUCUUCAUUCUAGCAAACCUAUUUUGACUCUCUAUAUCUUAUUUAUGUAUGCAUUCUUCAUUCAUGUUUUGAGAUAAGGUCUCACUAUGUAGCCUAGCUGACCUGGAAUUCACUAUGGAGCCAUGGCUGGCCUCAAACUAAAAAAGGCAUUCAUCACAUACUCUGAAAUUACUUAAUUACCCUUUAAUGCUAUGCUUUACUUGGUAAGGAGAUGGAUGGAGCCCACUCCACCAAUGUACAUUAGGAGUUCAUUUUACUAGCCUACUUAAUCUAUAUUAGAUGGGACCUAAUAUAGCUCUGAUGGUUUUCAUGGUUAAGUUUUGGCCUUGACUAUGUCAUCCACUUACUUGGCUCAAGGGCAGCGAGGAAGCAAAACUUUGUCUCAUGACCAGGGCAGCAAGGUGGAACUUACUCUCAGGAAGAGACAGUCUGGGAAUCUCUUGUGUUCCAUACUUCAUAGUAAUGAAAACCAAUGAAGAAAGAGGAGAAGGUACCAAGGGGCCGUGGUGAGCAGGAUGAUUCUAGAAGGAGAGCAAUAAUCAGAGAUGCCUGCGACAAAGAAGCCGUGAGCUGAACUUCCACAAUGGCCCAAAUCCAUGAGCUGAACUUUCUCAAUGGCCCGAAUCUCCCGAGUGUUUGAAACACUACCUUCCCAGCUGUCCAUCAAGAGAAUGUGUUGUACAGUGGAGGGUAUGAGCGGGAUGGGAGAAAAGGCCAAGGGCAUGCUGGGGAGCCAGUCCAAGAGGAGACCCUUGAGGGUAAAGCUCCUGCCAUGAGUUAAGCAAUGCUAACGUUAAGCAGUUAGAUGCUCUGCCUGCUCUUGGCGAGGAUCUGGACUUGGUUCUCAGCACCCACAGGAAGGCUCACAACUACCUGCAACUCCAGCGCCAGGGGAUCCAACGCCCUCUUCCGGCCUCUAAGAGCAAUUGAUGCGUAUAUAGACUAGUAGACACAAACAUGCGCAUAAAUGAAAAGAAAUGGAUUAUGU